RNAcentral lists this ribosomal RNA (1251 nucleotides) under Streptococcus constellatus. RNAcentral's name for it is "bacterial SSU rRNA". It matches the Rfam family "Bacterial small subunit ribosomal RNA", at positions 93 to 1333 of the family's 1533-position model. Lineage: Bacteria; Bacillati; Bacillota; Bacilli; Lactobacillales; Streptococcaceae. The record is from RNAcentral.
GAGUUGCGAACGGGUGAGUAACGCGUAGGUAACCUGCCUGGUAGCGGGGGAUAACUAUUGGAAACGAUAGCUAAUACCGCAUAAGAACAUUUACUGCAUGGUAGAUGUUUAAAAGGUGCAAAUGCAUCACUACCAGAUGGACCUGCGUUGUAUUAGCUAGUUGGUGAGGUAACGGCUCACCAAGGCAACGAUACAUAGCCGACCUGAGAGGGUGAUCGGCCACACUGGGACUGAGACACGGCCCAGACUCCUACGGGAGGCAGCAGUAGGGAAUCUUCGGCAAUGGGGGGAACCCUGACCGAGCAACGCCGCGUGAGUGAAGAAGGUUUUCGGAUCGUAAAGCUCUGUUGUUAAGGAAGAACGUGUGUGAGAGUGGAAAGUUCACACAGUGACGGUACUUAACCAGAAAGGGACGGCUAACUACGUGCCAGCAGCCGCGGUAAUACGUAGGUCCCGAGCGUUGUCCGGAUUUAUUGGGCGUAAAGCGAGCGCAGGCGGUUAGAUAAGUCUGAAGUGAAAGGCAGUGGCUCAACCAUUGUAGGCUUUGGAAACUGUUUAACUUGAGUGCAGAAGGGGAGAGUGGAAUUCCAUGUGUAGCGGUGAAAUGCGUAGAUAUAUGGAGGAACACCGGUGGCGAAAGCGGCUCUCUGGUCUGUAACUGACGCUGAGGCUCGAAAGCGUGGGGAGCGAACAGGAUUAGAUACCCUGGUAGUCCACGCCGUAAACGAUGAGUGCUAGGUGUUAGGUCCUUUCCGGGACUUAGUGCCGCAGCUAACGCAUUAAGCACUCCGCCUGGGGAGUACGACCGCAAGGUUGAAACUCAAAGGAAUUGACGGGGGCCCGCACAAGCGGUGGAGCAUGUGGUUUAAUUCGAAGCAACGCGAAGAACCUUACCAGGUCUUGACAUCCCUCUGACCACUCUAGAGAUAGAGUUUCCCUUCGGGGCAGAGGUGACAGGUGGUGCAUGGUUGUCGUCAGCUCGUGUCGUGAGAUGUUGGGUUAAGUCCCGCAACGAGCGCAACCCUUAUUGUUAGUUGCCAUCAUUCAGUUGGGCACUCUAGCGAGACUGCCGGUAAUAAACCGGAGGAAGGUGGGGAUGACGUCAAAUCAUCAUGCCCCUUAUGACCUGGGCUACACACGUGCUACAAUGGCUGGUACAACGAGUCGCAAGCCGGUGACGGCAAGCUAAUCUCUGAAAGCCAGUCUCAGUUCGGAUUGUAGGCUGCAACUCGCCUACAUGAAGUCGGAAUC